CGCUUUCUGAAAAUUUAUCUGAUUCCCUAUUACAGCGAUCGUGGUCGAUGGCGUUGUGGGCCUUUAGUCGAACGCGCCCAUACUUCAUUUUCAAUAUGGCGGCAUCGGCGUUCCCAAAUGUCAAUGUAUUGCUUGAGCAUCAUGAGUUUUUCCUAAUAAUAAAGCAUUUUGCUGUAAAAUUAGUUUAAUGAUACGUGUGAUAUUAUUAAUUAUAUAAUAAGCGCAAUUUAAUACCUUACUUAAGAACAAUAUAUUAUAAUAAGUGAUUUUAAAGUAUGAAGUGAUAAUCAAAAAGUAUAUAAAGUUAUAAGUAUUAAUGGCUCAGCGUUUCCCAACGAGUGGGCCUAGCCCUGCUCCUCCUGCAGGUGGCAUGCCGCCCCAGCAGCGGUAUCCUGGACCGGCCCAGCCUCAAGGAUCACCCAUGCCACCUAGGCCAUACUCAGGACCAACAUUCCCGCCCCGGAGCGGGUUCACGCCCCCGCCGGCGGGCGCGGUGGCCGUGGCGGGGGGCGGGGCGGG
Molecule: unclassified non-coding RNA, 519 nt
Filed under: Melitaea cinxia (Glanville fritillary)
Lineage: Eukaryota; Metazoa; Arthropoda; Insecta; Lepidoptera; Nymphalidae
Description: misc RNA ENSMCXG00005008186.1
Source: RNAcentral